UUGUUGCGCUCUUUCCUGGCCGGUCG
This 26-nucleotide non-coding RNA is filed under the name Mus musculus (house mouse). Lineage: Eukaryota; Metazoa; Chordata; Mammalia; Rodentia; Muridae. The record is from RNAcentral.